GAGACAAUGGCACAAUGAAGGUGCAGCACUGGAAGAUGAGUGCUACAAGUCUAAAGCAUGCUGAUUUUAGGAGUUCCACUGUGGUGCAGUGGAUUAAGGAUCAAGUAUUGUUGCAACUGUGGCAUAGGUCACAGCUUUGGUUUGGAUUUGAUCGCUGGCAUGGAAAUUUCCAUAUGCUGUGGGUGCCACUGAGAAAAAAACCCCAAAAAACAUGGCUAAUUUGAAACUUGGAAAAUCUAUGGAAGAAAUGUACUUGGAAGAUCAUCAGAAAUUGUUAGAUGUUGGAGUUUCCAUCAUGGCUCAGUGGAAAUGAAUCUGACUAGGAACCUUGAGGUUGCAGGUUUGAUCCCUGGCCUCCCUUGGUGAGUUAAGGAUCCGGUGUUGCCGUGAGCUGCGGUAUAGGUUGCAGACGCGCUCGGGUCCCUCUUUGCUGUGGCUGUGGUGUAGGCCUGUGUCUGCAGCUCUGAUUGGACCCCUAGCUUGAGAACCUCCAUAUGUCAUGGGUAUGGCCCUAAAAAGACAAAAAAAAAGAAAAAAAAGAAAAAAAAGAAAGAAAGAAAUUGUUAGAUAUUGAUGAAGGGGACCAGAAAGAUGACCAAGAAGUUCAUCUUUUCUGUAAACUGACUUUAUGCAAAAAUGCAGGGGAAACUAACUCAAAAGCAAAAUAUCUUCUUGGAGAGUCUAUGCAGGUUUGUCCCAUUCAAAAGAAAGACAUGACUUGGAUUUUAUUUUUGUCAUAGGGAGGUUCAUUAUAAUUAAGGUAGAUGCUAUGGAUAUCUUUAAACCAAAAUGGAAUUAAGGAUGUCAAAAAGAAGCUAAACAACAGCUCCUAAAAGGUACAUAUGGGAAUAAGCCCAGUAUUAAGUUUUCAGUCUAUGGAAAUGACCUUUGUUGAAGAUGUUGUCAGUGAUGAUGACCUCAGAAGCAGAAUGAAGUUCACUGCAGCAUCAGGAAAGUUACAUCCAACUGUGAAGCUAAGCAGUGCUGCAAACCAGUUGAAGUGUCUAUAGUCAGGUAUUGGAGGUUUUUCCUGAAAGGUGGGAAAGAGUUUAGAUUUGAAUGAUAGCAGGUUCGUGUUCUCAGCAAUAAAGAUUUAAAGCUGAGUGUUGUUUUUAAAGAAAUCAAGUGAAAGGAUUACAUCAAUAAAUUGCAAAUAAAGAACCCGCAUUGAUGAGUCACAAAUAAUACCUAGCAGACACCCAGGCAGGUCAGAAUCCAGAUCUAAAGUGCCCAAAUGUGUGGGGGCAUUUUAAAUUCCCUAGAAUCAUGGACUUGAUAUGGGCGGGUGUUGAUUCUGUAGCCCUUCUUGCCUGAUUCAUGCACAAUCUAGCCUUCCACACCUCUGGGAACAGCUGCAGGCACUGAAAUGCUGUGUAAGGACCCAGGGAUAGAGGCAAAAAUAACAUCUACCGUCAAUGGACUAAGCCUGUUAGUCAUUCUCAAUAGAGUGUGAAUGACUUGAAUCCCUAUGUUCCUUUUUAUUAGAAGAGAGCCUAAGAAUUUUGAUGGGCUUGUAUGGAAGGUGGAUAAUUUGUGAGCUGAGAGCCUGGACAGGAGGCCAGAGUUUGAGUUACAUCUUUGCCUGUGACUCUGUCUCAUCCUGGUAACUUCUCAAUAACUAGUAGUUGAAUUGUAUCAAAAGGGAUGUGUAAGACCAUUCAAAGACAAACUUCAAUAAUUCUAUUUUUUUAGUUUACAGACCAUUCCAGAUCCUUGUCUAAAAUGUCACUUGGGAUUUUAUAAUUGGCAACAUUUGAAAAGCAAGAUGUUUAAUAAAUAUUGAACAAUAACAAUGAGAUGAUCUGUGUAUAUCUCACCAUCUGGGAAUUUUCACACUAGUGUUCCGUUUUCAUGUUCUUAUUCAUCUUCUUGUAUUUAAUUAGACUCAUUGUACUAACAUAAAUAAUUCCUUUCACUGAAGGAAGUUAUUAAAUAUCCUCCUUUAUUAUUAAUAUUCAAAGAUGAAUUACAUAAUUUCACAUUCUUGGGAUGAUUCCUCGUAUUUUUGCUUUUGAAACAUUUUGUUUUGUAUCAGUUACUUUGAGGGAUUAAUGUUACUGAUUUGAUUCUGUGUUAGUGAUAGACAUAAUCAUGGUAAGUGAUGAUCAGUUUCUUAAAAUACUAGAUAGCUUCUUUCUUUAGUCCUUGUACUGUGCACAGUGCAGUUGUUCUUGGAACUUGUGAUGAUACUCAGCUUUUUAAGUACUCCUUUGGUUUCUCAACUGGGACCAUAAGUAAUGGUUUUGAAGUCCAAUUAUUGUUUAACUACUGUUUAGCCUUAAACAACUUUUUUUUUUGAAUUCUCUUUUGUCAGUGAAAUUCAUCCAGGGUUUUAAAGAUAAGUAUUAUUAAAAUGUGCACAAGAUAGGAAAAAUCUUCAAAUAUCAGUCCUUCCAUUUUAUGACUUCUUUCUUUUUUUUAAAGUAUAGUUGAUUUACAAUGUUUCUUCAAUUUGUUUCUUCAAUUGUUUCUGUUGUACAGCAAAGUGACCCAAUCACACACAUUUAUCUGUGUUGUACAGUAGGGCCCGAUUUGCCCAUCCAUUCCAAAUAUAACAAUUUGCAUCCCAACUCCACCCCCCCACCAAUGCCCAUCCAUCCCACUCCUGCCCCCUUCCCCCCAGGAACCUCAAGUCUGCUCUCCUUGGCCAUGAUCUGUUUCUGUUUUUUUAGAUAAGGUCAUCUGUUCCGUAUUUUAGAUCCCACAAAUAAGUGAUAUCUUAUGGUAUUUGUCUUUUCCUUUCUAGCUUACUUGGUAUGAGAAUCUCUAGUUCCAUCCAUGAUGCUGCAAAUGACAUUAGUUUGUCUUUGUUAUAGCUGGAUAGUAUUCCAUUGUGUAUAUGUACCACAUAUUCUUAAUCUAUUCAUCUGUUGAUGGACAUUUAUGUUGUUUCCUUGUCUUGGCUAUUGUAAAUAGCACUGUGAUGAACAUAGGGGCGCAUGCAUCUUUUUCAAUGAAAGUUUUGUCCAGUUAUAUGCCCAGGAGUGGGAUUGCUCGGUCACAUGGUAGUUCUAUAUUUAGUUUUCUGAGGACCCUCUGUACUGUUUUCCAUAGUGGUUGUACCAAUUUACAUUCCCACCAACAGUGAAGGAGGGGAGGGUACCUUUUUUCCACACCCUCUCCAGUAUUUGUUAUUUGUUGACUUUCUGAUGAUGGCCAUUCUGACUGGUGUGAAGUGAUAACCUCAUUGUAGUUUUGAUUUGCAUUUCUCGAAUAAUUAGUGAUGUUGAGCAUUUUUUCAUGUGCCUGUUGGCCAUCCAUAUGUCUUCUUUGGAGCAGUGUCUCUUUAGGUCUUCUGCUCAUUUUUCAUUUGGGUUGCUUGGUUUUUUUUUUGUGGUUGAGGUGCAUGAGUUGUUUGUUUAUUUUGGAGUUUAGGCCCUUAUCUCUUGCAUCAUCUGCAAAGAUUUUCUCCCAUUCUGUGGGUGGUCUUUUUGUUUUUUUAAUGGUUUCCUUCGCUGUGUUCCAUUUUACUCCCGGACAUUUAAUACCUGAUUAGCUGUCAUUACGUGGCCUACCCCUUGGCAGUAAUUGUAAAGCACUGUUUUAGACUUUGGUCUUGGUGAUGGUGGUGCUGACUGAGCCCUCUAUGCGUUACAGUUUCACUACAUGUCUUUCCCUUCUGUGAAUUCUGAGCUCCUUAAUGACAGAGUCUCUAAGUUUUUAAAUUUUUUAUUUCUGAGUCUAACUCAGUACCUGGCAUAGAGUAGGUAUUCAAUGAAUGUGUGUUGAGUGAACAAGUAUACCAAGAUAGGUGAGGACCUUAAUAAGGACACUGUACUUUCAUAGAUGCUAUAUUUUCCAUCUCUCACACUCUUCUGUGAUAGAAUUCAAUACCAUCAACAUUCUCAAAUCUGAUCCAUGUGCCCACAGGACCCUAUGUGGAAAGAAUUCCUCCCAAGUUCUCAUUUUCUGUUUACCUUUAUAAAGAAAUUAAAACAAAAACAAAACCCUCCUUGGAGUUCCCAUCAUGGCUUGGCAGAAAUGAAUCUCAAUAGUAUCCAUGAGGGUGCAAGUUUGAUCCCUGGCCUCACUUAGUGCGUUAAGGAUCUGGCAUUGCCACGAGCUAUGGUGUAGGUUGCAGACACGGCUCAGAUCUGGCAUUGCUGUGGUGUAGGCCAGUGUCUAUAUCUCCGAUUGGACCCCUGGCCUGGGAACUUCCAUAUGC
RNAcentral lists this long non-coding RNA (4165 nucleotides) under Sus scrofa (pig). RNAcentral describes it as "lncRNA (ENSSSCG00035075144.1)". Lineage: Eukaryota; Metazoa; Chordata; Mammalia; Artiodactyla; Suidae. The record is from RNAcentral.